CCUACGGGAGGCAGCAGUGGGGAAUAUUGCACAAUGGGGGAAACCCUGAUGCAGCGACGCCGCGUGAGCGAAGAAGUAUUUCGGUAUGUAAAGCUCUAUCAGCAGGGAAGAAAAUGACGGUACCUGACUAAGAAGCUCCGGCUAAAUACGUGCCAGCAGCCGCGGUAAU
This 169-nucleotide ribosomal RNA is filed under the name uncultured bacterium. RNAcentral's name for it is "partial 16S ribosomal RNA". It matches the Rfam family "Bacterial small subunit ribosomal RNA", at positions 338 to 524 of the family's 1533-position model. The record is from RNAcentral.